UACGUAGGGACCGAGCGUUGUCCGGAAUCAUUGGGCGUAAAGAGCGUGUAGGCGGCUAUUUAAGUCCUGCGUGAAAUCCUGCGGCUCAACCGCAGACGGUCGUGGGAAACUGGAUGGCUAGAGUGCGGGAGAGGAGAGUGGAAUUCCCGGUGUAGCGGUGAAAUGCGCAGAUAUCAGGAGGAACACCGAUGGCGAAGGCGGCAUCCUGGACCGGUAUUGACGCUGAGGCGCGAAAGCGUGGGGAGCGAUCCGG
This 253-nucleotide ribosomal RNA is filed under the name uncultured bacterium. RNAcentral describes it as "partial 16S ribosomal RNA". It matches the Rfam family "Bacterial small subunit ribosomal RNA", at positions 524 to 776 of the family's 1533-position model. The record is from RNAcentral.